CACUCUAAGGAUCCUUUGAAGGAGGGGCAUUGACUGUGAUAGCUGGGUGUGGGGUGCAGACCAGAGGCUGCUCGCAGGGGACUGGAACCUAGACAGAACAGGCACAAUCCUCAGCACAACCACUCUUGUUUGGCCCAACCCCCAAGCAUAUCUCCUGAGUCAAGGCGAACGGCGAGGUCAGGGACUACCAGCUGCUGCCUGAAGAUUGCCUGGCAGGCCUGACCCCUUGGCAAAGCAAAGCGUCCAGUGAGGUCUUUGCAAAAAGUCUCUCCAAGGAGCUGAGGAGCUGGGCAUCAGUACAGCAGAAAAAUGCAAACCAAUCAAGUCACAGAUUUUUCAGGCAUGCCAACCUUCUGGUCCUAGGCAUGAAGCAUUCCAAAAAGCCUAGGAAAAUUCAUAUGUUUUCCUAAGAAUGAACCGAUAUCUUGUCCUUCCAAGUUGUAUCCUCUGAUCCCUCCCUGAGAGGCAGCCAUGAUCUCUGAGGGGUGAUAAUAGCUGGGCCUCCUGGCUGAGUGAAUCAUACCAACUGUAAGCUUGGCUUAUGACCCAGAAAUGGAAACAGGAAGUGGCUUACAGAAUACAAAGAGCACAGUCAAGGAAGGAGUGCAGUAGAAUUCUCCUCGGAUGACAUGGUGUACAAUAGACAGAGGUGAAGACUGGCAUUUUUCCUUUUUUCUUUUUUCUCUUUUUUCUUUUCUUUCUCUUACCAUGAUGCCCUCUGGCAGGGCUGGGCCAUCUGAAUGGGGAGUGGGAUGUCUUCCCCGGGGUGGCAGAGGGGGAACCACUGUGGAUAAGUAGCUUCUCUCCAUAGGGAGCCCAUCUGUGGGAUGCUAUGGCCCCUUUUCACCUCAUCUUUGCAAAUUAAUUUGGGUUCUUCAGAAUGUAUUUUGCCAGGCUUUAUAAAUGUAAACUCUCAAGAGGUGCUUCCAACAAGAAAAACCGACUUCUGGCAGCUUUGAAUAGUUCCCAGAAGGUUCUCUGAGCCCAUGGGGGGAGGGCUUCCUUGCACUCAUGCUGAGAUACAAAAAUCCACUGUCAUCCCUAGAUACCUGGAGGGGGCUGGAUGGGGAGG
Molecule: long non-coding RNA, 1072 nt
Organism: Lynx canadensis (Canada lynx)
Lineage: Eukaryota; Metazoa; Chordata; Mammalia; Carnivora; Felidae
Exons: 2
Source: RefSeq, a predicted model, not a curated record